Molecule: non-coding RNA, 725 nt
Organism: Camellia sinensis
Lineage: Eukaryota; Viridiplantae; Streptophyta; Magnoliopsida; Ericales; Theaceae
Source: RefSeq, a predicted model, not a curated record
UUCUCCAAUCCAACCCGCAGAUGUGUGUGUUGGUGGGGGGUGGAACUUUUAUGUUGUGUUUGGUUGAGAGAUUUUAGGAGAGAUUUGGAAAGGGAAAGAGAAAAGGUGUGUGAAAUUAAGUGAAAUGUAGGCAUAUUUUAUUCACAUUUUAUCAAACUUUUCUCUUUUUCUUUUCAAAUCUCUCUUCAAAUUCUCCAAUCAAACACAGCGUUAAGGGGAUACAAAUCAUUGCUCUUAUUAUUAUUAUUAUUAUCAUUAUUAUAAUAAAGAAACCAACCAAUGGUUUCUGAAAAGCAGCCCAUGGUUUUGAAAGAAGUUUAUCCUCACAUGUCUCUCUCAUGUCUCUCUCUUUCUCACAUGUCUCUCUCGUCUCUCAGUUUUUCUACCUCACAUGUGUCUCUCUUGCUCAAGCUUUGCCAUUGAUGACCACAAAUUGAAGUUAAUUGGAGCUCUAUCAACGACGAUCUCAACCUUUAUAUUCGUUAACAACGACGUUGACCUUCAAAUUCAAGCAUUAGCUAAUGCAUUAGCAGCAGCGCAAUAAAUGUGGACUCUUGGAAAUGCAGGCAUGGGAGCAUUGCAGGUUUUUAAUUUCUUGAAACAAAUGAUCUUUUGGAGCCUUCAUAUCUGUCUUCUCUUCUUCUUAACGUCAUAUUGUUAAGUUAAUUUAUUUAUAUAAAUAAUAAUAAUAAUUUAUUGGGAGCACUAACCGGUGUGCAUUUUAA